This 464-nucleotide ribosomal RNA is filed under the name Vreelandella stevensii. RNAcentral's name for it is "partial 16S ribosomal RNA". It matches the Rfam family "Bacterial small subunit ribosomal RNA", at positions 339 to 795 of the family's 1533-position model. Lineage: Bacteria; Pseudomonadati; Pseudomonadota; Gammaproteobacteria; Oceanospirillales; Halomonadaceae. The record is from RNAcentral.
CCUCGGGCGGCAGCAGUGGGGAAUAUUGGACAAUGGGCGAAAGCCUGAUCCAGCCAUGCCGCGUGUGUGAAGAAGGCCUUCGGGUUGUAAAGCACUUUCAGUGGGGAAGAAAGCCUUGGGGCUAAUACCCUCGAGGAAGGACAUCACCCACAGAAGAAGCACCGGCUAACUCCGUGCCAGCAGCCGCGGUAAUACGGAGGGUGCGAGCGUUAAUCGGAAUUACUGGGCGUAAAGCGCGCGUAGGCGGUCUGAUAAGCCGGUUGUGAAAGCCCCGGGCUCAACCUGGGAACGGCAUCCGGAACUGUCAGGCUAGAGUGCAGGAGAGGAAGGUAGAAUUCCCGGUGUAGCGGUGAAAUGCGUAGAGAUCGGGAGGAAUACCAGUGGCGAAGGCGGCCUUCUGGACUGACACUGACGCUGAGGUGCGAAAGCGUGGGUAGCAAACAGGAUUAGAUACCCGUGUAGUC